GCAUUUCAGCGUAUAACUCGUGUUACAAAAAAACAAUUUAGCUCGCUCUUUUUUCAUUUUGUCAACCAGUCGGAGGGCUUGUGAUCAGUGUUUCUACUGUCGAUGCAUAUCGCCUUUUAAACCAACGCACGAAUGCGCAAUAAUCCUAGACAACUCAAUCCAGCUAUACUAAUCAUCAACAACAGGUGUGUCGAAGAACCAACUUAGCCGCAUCGUAGUUAGCACGAUGAUCUCAUCUCAGAUGUGUCAACUCAUCUCGGAUGUGUCAAGCGACGUAUGAAGAACGGACCCCAGGCCUAUUUAAGCAGUACUGAGUGAGACCAACACCUGCAUGGAGAUUCAGAAUGAAAGAGAAACAGAGAAGCCCCAGUACGUAAUUAUGGCCUGUCCAUUUAUUGAAGUCUCUGUGGAUGAUGGUGCACAGAUAUUAGAAAGAGCUUUUAGACCACUAGCCUCAAGGGUCUUUAGGGACAGAGUAAACCCUCUUGCCUUCCCAGAUAACUAUCUAUGUGGGAGACAUAUCGGUUCAGCAGACCCAGCAUAGUCUACCUAUGUGAGCUGUUGGAACCAAACCUCAGCAAACCCACACGGCAAAGUCAAUGCCUGACCACAGUGCAAUCUGUCUGUAUUGCACUGCGUUUCUUUGCCAGUGGGACAUUCCUCUACAGUGUUGGUGAUGCUGAGCAUUUGGCUAAAGCAACUGUAUGCCGUGAAAUAAGGAUGGUCUACCCUGCUCUGAGGCAAUAUUUAUAUCACCUUUCCUGGCCAUCUACCAACACAGAGGAUCAAGGAGAACUUUUAUGCAAUAGCAGGUUUUCCCAAUGUCUUGGGUGCUGUGGACGGCACCCACAUCAGAAUACAGGCCCCAGCUGGACCAACUGAGGCGGACUAUGUGAACAGGAAAUCUUUCCAUAGCCUCAAUGUACAGAUGAUCUGUGACAGCAACUGCCUAAUUACUAAUGUUGAGGCAAAAUGACCAGGCUCUGUCCAUGACUCCAGGAUCUUUCGAGCAUCCUCACUGGCACAGAAGUUUGCCAGGGGCAAGAGAACAUUUCAAACAAGGGUUUUUACUUCACAAGCAUUUUUCAUGGAAACUAGUGAUCAUAAUUUUAAAAGAGAAA
This is a long non-coding RNA of Clarias gariepinus (North African catfish), 1121 nucleotides long. RefSeq lists it as uncharacterized. The record is from RefSeq and is a predicted model, not a curated record. Lineage: Eukaryota; Metazoa; Chordata; Actinopteri; Siluriformes; Clariidae. The transcript has 3 exons.